RNAcentral lists this transfer RNA (33 nucleotides) under Inula salicina. Its description in RNAcentral is "partial tRNA-Leu". Lineage: Eukaryota; Viridiplantae; Streptophyta; Magnoliopsida; Asterales; Asteraceae. The record is from RNAcentral.
AAAAUCCGUCGAUUUCAAAAAUCGUGAGGGUUC